RNAcentral lists this long non-coding RNA (41035 nucleotides) under Malus domestica (apple). RNAcentral describes it as "long non-coding RNA (MDOM_LNC018898)". Lineage: Eukaryota; Viridiplantae; Streptophyta; Magnoliopsida; Rosales; Rosaceae. The record is from RNAcentral.
AUAAAAGAUUAAGUAGUAUUUUCAUCCUGUUUUAAUUGACAAGAGAAUUUCUUUAAUUAAUAGAGAUUACAAGCCAAACUUACCCACAAAGCAUGCCCUCUUUUUGCUCCAAAAGAAAGUUAGCCACCCUUUUUUCUUUUUCCUUUAUUUUUCACUCUUUCCCUCCCCCUUCAAAGUUAUAAAGUUCAAACGUACAUCCAAGGUUGAAGCUACACCAAGCACUUACCCAAAAGGAAAAAGAUUGAAUUCUCAAAUACCUAGGACAAUGAUAAAGAUUUGUUUUCAUAGAAAAUUGUGUAAAUUUUAGCCAAAAUUAAUUAUUAACCCCGUGAUCAACUGAUAAGUAAUGAUUAACUCGAGGGUGUAUAAGGAACAAUUCUCAACUUUUUUCUUUUGAUGUCUAUUUUAAUUAAGGAUUGAAUAAAUUUGUUUUUCGGUUUCCUACGUUUUUUUUUGUUGGAUUCAACAUGCUUUCGAUUCUUUGUGGCUGAAAAGUUUGAUACCAAAUAUUAUGAAAGACUAACCUAUUUUAUGUUUAUGAACUAACUCAAAUUUCUCACCCCUUGGUUAAAUAUAUUAAUUUCGUAUUCAACAAAGAAAUUAUAUACUACAUUAAAUAGAAAUUCUUGAUUAAAUUAUACUCAGACACUCAAGUUAAUGUGAUUAUUAAGCUAGUAUUAAUAAUCACAUUUGCUAAUUACUAUCUCAGCUAGUGUUAAUAACUUCAAUUACAAAAUGAGCCUCGAAAAAAGACAUUCCACAUAACAUCACGAGAUCCCUCAAACCAAACUGUAUAUAAAAGUAUAAACUGAAAACCAAACUUAGCUAAGCGGGUGAGCGACACCGUUACGAAGCGUAGGGAUAUGAUCGAAGAAUAUUUCAUAUCAUUGUUGCAAGUGUAAAUUAAGGAGACACACGAGCUUGCAUUACAAGGUCAUGUGGGGUGCGGUCCCUCAUGAGUCACGACCCUGUAAAAAUUCUGAUAAGGACGACUGGAAUAUUCAUAUUCAUGGGUUAUAUGUCAUGCUACAUACUACAUCAUGCAUCCACAUUAUCGAUGGUCAUGCCACAUACCAUGCCAUGGCCCAUGUCAAGUGCCAACGAUGCCCUCGCUUUUUGUCUGCUUCUGAGAAAGAGACACGCACUUUCGCGAAAGCGUACGUGGGCUAAAGGGAAACUAGGAGAAAAGGGAAAGGGAUCCUCUCCACCUAAUAAGUUCGAAGAUUUAGAUCAUUAAAAUUUAAUCAAAUCAUUAAAAUUAUUAUAAUUUUUAAAAUGGACAUCUAUUUGUAGUUGUUAGAUCAAAUUUCAAUAGCUCAGAUCCUCAGAUUUGGUAAAUUAAGAGACAGAGAUUCGGAGAGGAUCCAUUUCUGGAGAAAAGGAACACAAAACGCCUAUUGGCAUCAAAAUUAAUUUUGCCAACAUUAGUGUGAUUGCUACCAAUUUUAAAAUUUUCUUUCAUGAAUUAACAUAUUAUCUAUUAUUCCCAAUUACCUAGUCCAUUUAUAAGAAUCAUCUCAGUUUUAAUUUUGUUAGUAAGUAUUACGGUUUGGUGGUAUUCAUUUUCACUUGGAAGUGAGAGGUCUUAGGUUCGAAUCUCGUGAAUGGAAAAUUCGAUACCAAAUUAGGCUGCCCAUUGUGGCUUAACCGAACUUCAUCUCCCCUUAGUGUAAAAAUAUCGAUGUACUAAAAAACCUUAGUGUAAAAAUAUCAAUGUAUUAAAUAAAAUCUCAGUUUUAAUUCUUAAUUUUUAUUUUUUAAAUUGAAAAUUUUCUGGUAAUUAUUUUAAUUUUUAUUUAAAAAAAUGAAAAACUUAAACCAGAAUUUAAAAACACCAAACAGUAAAUUUGAAGGUAAUUACCAAAUGAUUUUUUAGUUUUCAGGAAAAAAAUGAAAAUAAAAACUACAACAAGAAAUGCCAAGACAAGCCUUGUGUAUGGGUUAACGGACUAGAGCAACAAAGUUGUUUAUAUAUGUGAGGUAUUAUACGAUUUAAAAGUUUUAUAAAUUUGAGACUAAUUUGAUAACGAUCCAAGAUUUUGAGUAAUUUAUGUAAUUUAUCAUUUUACAUCGAAGAGUGAUAUUGGCUAGGGAGCCAAAUAUAUAAUUGCAGGAAAUACAAUAAGAGAAUUAAUUAUAUGAAUAAUCUACCUAGGCAACAACCUCACAAGUGGUCAACUUCAUGGAGAAAAUAUUUUCUUGUAUGUGUAUGCAUACUAGUAUUUAAAAAAUAAAAAUAAAAAUAAAGUUAAAGAAAUGGACGUGUAGUGCCUUUUUUAUUUUUUUUUAUUUUUAUUUUUUUUUGUAUUAUUCAAAAUAUACCGCGUAUAUAAUUUAAUUAUAUUAUUUUUGGGGUGCCCUUUUUUUUUGUAUUAUUCAAAAUAUACCGAGUAUAUAAUUUAAUUAUAUUAUUUUAGGGGUGUUGAGAUUCCAGUUUCCAAAUGCACAUGUGACCAAAGGGUUCCCUUUGAUAAUUGGAAUCUUCUUUCUUAGACGCGAUCACGCAUGAGCUCAAACCCAUGUGUGAGAGUGAGUAUUUUGUAGGCCGUGUCAAAAUUCAAGUGUUAGGGAGGUUAAAUUUGUAGAUUAAAUUUGCAAAUUAAAUGACGUGUCACCAAUAAGAUAUGAGCAUGUUUAUCAAUAUUUAAGUAAUAAUCCAAUCAUUCACUUUCAUGUCAUUUAGUUUUCAAAAUUUAAUCUCCCGAACAUUACUCAAACUCAAAAGGUUAAAGGUCUAUGAAAUAAAAGAUGACCAAUUGGUAUAGAGAAGUCUCUUUCACUUUCAUGGUGUGUUUGGAGAAAGAUUUAGCUUUGUUUAAAAGUGUUUUUAAAUGAUGAAGCUUUUUGGUGAAAAUGUUUGGAAUCAUUUAUUAGUAAAAAGGUUUUUCAGCCAAAAUGAUCUUUGAGAUUUGCAUAAUUUCUCAUAGAAGUGGUCCCUAAGUUUGUCCACCAUCAAUUAUUUUGGUCUUUUUGUGAAAAAUUCUGUUAAAUAAGGACCAAGUUGACAAAAAAAAACCCGAAAUUUAAUAAACAAUGUGCCAAAAUGAUUUGGUAAAAGUUGAGGGCAUUUUUGUCAUUUUAUCCUUAUUUAAUAGAGAUUUUUCACAGAAUGAACAAAAUGAUUGAUAGUGGACAAAUUGAGGGAUCACUUCUAUCAAUUUCAAAUCUCAAAGACUAAAGUGAAAAAUUAUGUCAAUUUCAGGGACCAUUUUGGAUAAAAUGUAAUUGGACUUGGAAAAACACUUGAAGUGCUUCAUGCAAAAACCACAAGUUGCAGGAAGCACUUCAAGUGCUUUUAGAAUCUAAAAACUUUUUCUUCAAAAACGCUUUCAAUCAUUUUAAAAGUACUUCCAAACAAGCUCAUAUAUGUGCAAGUGCUUCAUGCAACUAUGCAAGUGCUCCUUCUUCUUAUUUCUACAAAUGUUAGAACAUAUACAUAAAUUGCACUGGGUAUAUUUAUUACAACAUCGUUUUUAGAGACGUGGCAAGUGAAUAUCUGAAUGCCAAGUAUGGCUCAUAACAAUCUAUCAUCCGGCGGAUACAACGAUACUUCUGCCGUAUGAAGAGUUAAUUUGCCAAGCCAAAAUUUUCACUUUUUGGGAAAUCCUGCCGAUUAAUAUGUUUUUUGGUAAAAUUUGAAAAUGUACUCAUCAGAUAGGAUUCAAUUUUAUAAAGCGAAACAAAAUUUUGGUUAAGUUUUUCAGUUGGUUAUUGGGUUUUUAACUGAUGUUUUAAGGUGAGUCUUAUGUCUUAUAAUUUGAGUGAAUUCGAUUGGACAUUAUAAAAGUUUUGGUUAGAAUUGUGAUGCAAAUAAUUUAUUGUUUUUUAAUUGCUGAGAAUACCUGAAAACAGGUUGAAUUUUCAUUGGUUGGAUCAAUUACCAAUCAAAUGUUUGAGCAAAUUGGAAAAGGCAUUGUGGAUAAAGGAAAAGGAUCCGGCGAUGAUCAUUUUCUUAUGAAUCUGGUGAGGAUCAUUUUCUUAUGAAUCUGGUGAGGAUCAUUUUCUUAGGGAUCUUAGGGAUCUCAUAAUCGUGACUAUUUAUCGUAUAUCGUGCAGUCAAUUUUCGUUAAGUUCUAUUUAUAUUUAAUUUUAAAAUUUAAAAUAAUUUUUUACUGUACGAAGUAUGAUAAACUAUCACGAUCACGGAAUCCCUAUUCAGUUUACCAAUGGAAUCAUGCAUACGUUGCUCAAUGAAGGGUUGAGGGCAAAAAGAAACUCUCUAAAGUGAGCCACAUGCAUGCAAAAAGAAAAGCAAAAUGACCUUCAUCAUUUCAUCACCAUCAAAACUUCAUGAACAAUACUUGGCUAUUCAAGGAUGAGUAACUACUCAAAGUUCUUUGUAUUCAAAUCACAUAGCUUCGUACUUAUGAUCAUAACCGUUCAUAUUAUGAAUCACUUUGUAAAGAUCAUCUUUGCAAAAAAGAAAUGAAUUAAAACUAAGGUCGUUUAGUCAAUCUAUUGUAGCAAAUACAAUUGACGUUUCGUAAUGUUUUUACCAAUUCCGUUCAUCUGUUUUUAUACAGUUCGAUGACUAAAUAACCUUAGUUUUAAUUUAUUUAUUAUUUAACCUUGUGAACGUUGACUGAGCUGAGAAGAAGCACUAGCAACUCUUGUCAAAUAACUGAUUUAUGAACUGUUCUAAUCAUAAAAUGAAGUUCUAUGAAUCAACAAUGAACAAUUUUGAGUAGGAACUCUUACUCAUCCUUGAGUAGCCAAGUAUUAUUCAAACUUUAUUAACCACAUUUAUAAUUACAUAAAUAGUGCUCAAAUCUUGACCUUCUUUAUUUUUUUACACAAUCCUUUGAAGAUCAUCUCAUCUUUGUAAAGAAUUAACUAAUUCUAAGAUCGUUUAGUCAUCCAACAAUUAUCUAAUAAACAGACAAAUUGUGUUCCUCACUUGAACCCUAAAUUUUAACAAGGUUAAUCGACCACUUAACGAUUUCUAAUUGAGUUAUAUUUUACAAAAUUCAUCUUUUAAAAGUGACUUGAAAUAUAAAGGGUUCUUAUCAUCAAACAAGAAGCGAGAAAACUUGAGUACGAAGGUAAGCUUGAUCAUCACAUCAUUUUAAAGACAGAACGUAGGCCUAAAGAAUAUACUAGCUCUUCGUACAUAAUUUAGGGUAUAUGGAUGUAUGUAGGGAUGGGCAAAUACCCAUUGGUUAUGGGUAACCGUGGUUACCCGCCCAUUUAAAUUAAACGGUUACGGUUAUGGGUAACCAUUUAGAUAAAUAAACGGUUAUGGGUAUAACCGUUUACCCGCGAAAUUUAAAUAGGCGGUUAUGGGUAUUAACCACGGUUAUAAACGGGUAACCGUUUACCCAUUUAUUUUAUAUAUGUAAAACUAACACAAACCAUGUUCUGGAUCCAAUAAUACUUAGCACCCAAUAAAUUAGCAAGGAAUUCAUCGGUCAUUCUCUCAAUAACACUAAUACAGGAAUGAUGAUUCUCAUCAUCAAGGAAUUGGCCAAAUUAAUUUAAAUUCCUUGCGGGUAACCGUGAAAUUGACAGAAAUGCUUUGACAAAAAUGUCUUCUAAACAAUUUUUGUAACCCAAUAAUACUUAGCAAAUAUUAUAUUUACCUUCAUUGAUAACAGUUAAAAAUAUCGUCCGUAAACUAUUAUUUCAAUUAUUGGAAUGGUAUAAGGACUUAAAAAAUUAAAAUAUGGAAAUGUAUGAUGAAUGUACCUAUAACGGUGUUUAAUUGUCAAAAAAAAAAUGUCAUAAUUUUUUUUUAAUUUUCAAGUUGUUAAAAAACAUGUAAACGGAUGAAAAAAAGGUAAUGGUAAAAAAAAAAAAAGAUAAACGGGUUAAAAAUGAUAAAUGGGUAAACGGAUAUUAAACGGUUACAGUUAAAUGGGUAUGCGGUUAUGAGUAUGGUUAACCGUUUAUAAACGGUUAUGGGUAUGGGUAUAACCGUUUAGGCAAUUACCCAACGGGUAAACGGUUAUGCGGGUAUGAGUAUAAACGGUUAUGGGUAAAUUAACCGCGGUUACCCACUCGCAUAACCAUUGCCCAUCCCUAGAUGUAUGUGCAUAAUAACUUGUUCUAGGGUCUGUGAAUGAAAUGUGAACCACAUCAUCGGAACGCGGGAGGGCACGGCAGACCGCUCUGGAUAGAGCAUGGACCAAAGAAACUAGCAACCACAUCUCCUGCCUGAUUCGCUUCUUGACACAGCCGAAGUUAUAGGUUAGGGAUCAUGAACGGUCACCGAUAGAUAGAAUUCUAGAAUGCCGGCAAUUGUGAGAGAAACUUGUUUUUUGAAUUCUUAUUCAAUGAAAGAUGAUAACUUACAACCCUAAAUGUUGUUUAAAUAGUCUUUAACAAACCCCAACUCCAAAUAGGAAAUAAAUUAAACAAAUAGCAAAAUAUAAAAAAGAUUCUAAAAUAUUAAAACCCGAAUUAAACACGUUAAACGACAUAAUUAACCCAAACUUCGACUGGGCUCGUUGAAAAUCAAUGAGUCUUGUAGGCCUCGUCGUUUUCUUGAAUCUUAUAUGUUACAGGCCCAAAACCGACAUGCUAACUUGAAAAUUCCAAAGCAUUCGUUUUCAGGGUAUGGGCAAAUAAUAUUUUAACACCUAAAUUACUAUUUCUCCAAUCAUUUUUCUUAAUUAAAUGUCACUUCCUUCUUUCAACUCUCCCGCAUUGAAAAUAACACCAACUCGGUUCUCCGUCACUUCUCUCGGGACCCAGUUCCAUAAAAUGGAAUGGAGACCUCUAGCUAGCUUGGUAAUCCUGUCAAUCGAUGAGGAGAGGCAAGGACGGAUUAAAUGAUGAGAACUUGGGAGUCAGACUCGCAAAUAAUAUCAAAAGACUGAUUUUCAAUAGCAAGGGAGACAGCCAUAACCGCUGCUCGAGCUUCAGCUUCAAGAGGGGAGGAGACACGACAACAUGAAGUUCUGCCUGCGAUCACAACUGCAUGGGUGUCUCUGGCAAUUGCACCAAUGCCAGCCUUGCUAGACGUCGACAUUCAGCUACAAUCAAAGUUAAUUUUCACUAUACCAGAUGGCAGGGCGACCCACGAACUUUUAUCUCGAACAUUCCCACCCCGCGCUGCCGUGGAGAACGAAGAGAGACUCUCUCGGAAUUGAAGUUGAACAGGGAGAGGAGGGGACUCGUGGUUCCGAUCAGAGGACACUCUCUCGGCCAACACCGGAUUCUCACCAGAGACAUCAAUCUGACUUAAAACCCUCAACUUGAUUUGUAUGGCGAGGGAUACCCGUGUCUGGUAUGAGAUAACUUUGGUGGAGGCAACUUGGAAUUCCUUAGCAUACCUCUCCACCGCUCUAGCAACUUCGAUAGGGGAAACAUAAGAAGUAGAAGAGUUCGAAAGAAGAAAGUGGUUCAUUGUACAAAACAAAGAUACAUACUCCUGUAUUCGCGGAUUCUACAAUCAGCGCAAAUCCUUCCUUUCUGUCACUAACAAUUAGAUGUAAACAUUCAGCAUAUGGACACACACAAGGAAUGCAAACAAGCGAAUUCUUAUUACUUACUUGGCUGAGAAGUAUUUUCAUCACUACCGUCAAGAAUGAGUUUGACUCCAUUGUCCUUAAGAGCAUUGACAAUAGCCCAAAUCUUGGUGCGGUUCUUAAAACCCUUUUUCUCAACUUCGUUAUUUACAUUGACAUGAAUCCCUCGUCCCUGUCCCUCGCCAAGACCUUCCACCUUGAGUCGCCUAGCCAACACCUCUCCAACAACUGCCGCUGCCUUUGCAUUGCAAGACCUUCCACAUUCGAGUGAGCCCUUGAUUGAAUGUUCAACCGUAGAUGCUGACACAACAAUUCGGCCAUUAUUUCUGUCCACUACGUUUGCUGUAAUGUACUUCAAUGAUAUGAACAGCCGUAGCACAUAUCGCUUCACAACCGUCAUUCUGGGGCAGUCCUGCUGUUUUUCGUUUAAUAAAAGCAAUUUCAACAUUAGCAAAAGAAUAUUAGAUAUGGAACUAUAGAUACACGGAAAAGAAUUGGAAGACUAACAGUUAUCUACCAAAGAAAAAUACUAAACUCUUUGGUCGUUAAUUCUCUUCAAGGGGAGUAGAGAGAUACUCUCAAUUAUCACCCACAGCCACUGGUUAAGUUCGAACCCAGUUGAUUUAAGCAGCUAACAACAUGUUGACAACGCACCUGAAGCAAACUAGUUGCACCUUCAACCCACUCUUUAUCAAACAUGUAGAACCAGAGACUAAAUGCUUCUACGCUUUUAAAUAAUAUCAAACAAAUUCCUUCAAAUACAUACUGCUAACAUCGCGUAGGCCUGUCUUCCAGGUUCCGAAAAUUAUCAGUUCAAAUGCAUCUUAAUAGAAAGUCGGUAGCAUUUUGAGUCACACUUGGGCACACAAAUUUAAUUUGACUCACACUCCCACCUAGAAAAACAUCUGAGAGACCGAAAUCUUGAGAGGAUUGUGCAUGCUUUAGUUUUUCCCCCCGCCUCAACAGCAUCACAGAGACACUGCUUUGUUAGUCCUUAGUGGUUGUAAGACUAGUUUUUUUAGCAGGCUGAUGAUUGUAGAAGGGGAAAUCCAACACUAUCAGUUACCUUAGAGUUCCCCUUCUUCACAAAGUGAAGGAGAAAAAGAAUCGAACACCAAACCCAGACUAACGAGCGAUUUAGGUUAUACCAUGCACAAUCCUCAUAAACCAUAAACCAGAUGCAAGAACAACUACCCAUCUUAUGCUCUUUUAGGCCGUCAUUUGGUGUUUAGGACUGGAGUGGAUUGGAUAACUCGGUAAAUUCAAAUGAAUGUUGGAUGAAGGGAGAAGUAGGUUGCCAUCCGCUAAUUCAUUGAACAUAGAUUGAAUUUACGGAGUUAUCCAAUCCCUUCCAAUCCUAAACACCAAAUGAGGGCUUAAUAGGCAAGCUUCAAUCAAGGACAAGUAAGAUUAAAAGACUGAUAAUACCCAAAUAACCCUUUCGUAUGAAGAACCCAUUAUUUGCCUAAUCCUGUAUUAUUACUUGUUUAUCAAGUGGAGGCAAUAAAAGCAAAUUCACAACAUGAAAUAAUUAAUCAUAUAAAUCCAUUCUUGAAACACGAUUAAACUUUUCUAUUCAUUCUUUAAAGGAACAAAUAUGAACAGACAAUACAGAGAGAGAGAGGAGAAAGAGAGCAGCUCAUGUACCUGUCGGGAACAAAGAUGAAAGCUUGGCCGGGUGGAAGCGUAGGAGUGAGUGUGACCGUGCGAGCCGAACCAGGAAAGCAGGAGGACGAGGAGGAGGAGGAGGAAAGCCAACGGUGGGCUGGUGUGGGUAACGGGCUCUUGCAGGGCUGUGGUGGUUACUGGGCUACUGCGUCCAAGUUUGACAAGUAAUGGACACCCAAACCCAAAUAUUGUCUUUGGAAUUGGAGCCCAAACUCUCCUUAGUCUAAAAUUUAAAAUUUAGAAAAACGAUAUUUUAAACUAUCUAAUUCACGAAGAGGAAAUGAGUAAAAAAAAUCUUAGCAUUAAACAAGAGUGAAAAGAGUGGACACACAAUCACCUUGAUCAACUAACUUAACCUACACAUGCUUUUAGAUAUAAUCUUUAAACACCUUUUUUAGUCACUUACGCUCUCCCCCUUCUCUCCCGUUGCAGCACGGAGGUCGGAGUGAAGUGACAAAUGGCAUCAUCAAACCACAUAUUGAAGAUGACCAUCGCCCAUGGGCAUGCUUCAGAAUACUUUUAAAACCACUUAAGAGUGUUUUGAACAUCAAAAAUUGUCACAUCCCGACCCGGGACGGAUCACUUUCCGGGUCCACUUCAUCACCGUAUCACGAUAUUAUCCGUUUUGGGCUUACCAUUCCCUCACGGUUUUGUUUUUGGGAACUCACGAGCAACUUCUCAGUGGGUCAUCCAUCCUGAGAGUGCUCUGGCCUCCUUCUCGCUUAACUUCGGAGUUCCUACGGAACCCGAAGCCAGUGAGCUCCCAAAAGGUCUCGUGCUAGGUAGGGAUGUGAAUAUACAUUUAAGGAUCACUCUCUUAGGCGAUGUGAGAUGUUACAAAAAUUACCUAUAACUAUAUUAGGCAUAAAACGCAAAAUUAUUUAUGAGUCAUAUAACUACUUUUUGGAAAAUCACAUGCAAUUCAAGAAGCACUUUCAAAUGCUUAUAUAUAUAUAUAUAUAUGUAAAUUGGAACUCUCUUCAAAAUUUGGACGUCAAGCACUUAUCACAAAUAAACUUGUGAGCACACGUAUUUCUUACAAAAACAGUAUCAAAUAAACUGUAAAUGUUAGGAUACCAUAUUUCACAUUGGAGAUAAUUAACAUUAUUGAAAUCAUGCAUUGUUCUCUACCACGCAUCAUUUUUUAUAAAUAAACAGUUGAGAUUUAACUAAUUAACGUUUUUAUUUUUGUUGUCUUUUGAUGCUUAGGAGAGCAGAGCUUUUGGGAUCGUUCCCUUCCUAGCCAGUUUUGUUGGGUUUUGGUACCUCAAUUAGACUAAAAUCGAAAUGUGUCCAAUAGGCCCAUCCCCACCAGCCCAAGCCCCUUUGGUCUCCACCCAAAACGACACCGUCCAGCCCGCUACAAAAAAUCAGAACACCAAAGGGGAAGUCCCAUCCGCAUUCCCGCCUACCCAACCUACAUAGUGUGAGUCACUUAAUAUUGCGAUCUGAUGAUAUUUAUUUUUAUUUGAAAACAUGAAUUUUUAAAUUUAAACUUUAUAAAUAUCGAAUUCGAUAUCAAAUUAAAUUGCUUAUUAUAUAAUUUUGCCAAAUUUUCAUUCCUCUUAAAAGAAAAAUAUCAAUAUACUCAACCAAAAAAAAAAGAAAAAAACCCCAUAGUGUGGAAGGCCUAUAAGCGACGAACACGUGGGAAGCCACCUCAACCCUAACCCCGCCUUCCUUUAUAAAUUCUCAAAUCCUCCACCUCCCGUUCCAGAAAACCUCCCCAACCCUUGCGAGCGGGUAUUUGCUGCUAUUACCUAACAUAACAUACCACAAAAUAUCUGUACACCCCCACCUGAGAUACAAUCCCAGAUCUGACCUCCCCACCGCCCUCCCUUUCUUCCCCGAUCGUCUUCUCUUCUCCAAGGUCCCUCUCAAAUCUCAAUCCCUAAUUCCCCAUUUCAUAUAAUAUAUAUACGCACAUGUCUCUGUGUUUGGUUGAUUGCAAGUUUUGAUUUUGAUGAUGAUUGUGCGAUGUGCAGGUUGAUCUUUGAAAACGAUGGUGUCGGACGCGAGCAAGAAGAAGGCGGCCCAGAAGAAGGCGGCGGCGGCGGCCAAGAGAGGUGGGAAGGCGGCGGCGGCAGCUGCUUCGUCCAAGUCGCCUGCGGCCGAGAACGGUGCUGAUAAGCUUGCCAAUGGAGUCGGGGCGAUGCAUAUUUCGGAUCGGAACUGCACCGGCGUGCUUUGCUCGCAUCCACUUUCUAGAGAUAUUCGCGUAUGUGUUUCAAUACGAUGUCGUCUUCAUCUCUUCCAUCUUAUUAGUAUAUAUGGUCUUUGACAUAGUAUAUUUAAUAUCAUAUUUAACAAAAAUAACAGGGCAUCUUCAGGAAUUUUUCCUUCCUUUUCAGAAAUUUAGAUUAUUUAUGUGAAUUGUUUUUACUCAGGUGAAUAGGUGUUCGAUGUUCCAUUUAAGUUUAUAUAUUUAUAUACUUAAUUUUUUUAAUGCAGAAAGGUAAUGUAAGAUGCGAUUAUCGUUGAAUGUGGUAGGAGAAAAUGCAAUAGGUCCAUGGGAGAAAUUGAUUAGUUUUUAUAAGCUGCGAAUAUGGUUGAAUAUUGCAGGAGAACUGUGAUAGAGCAAGAAGAAUUAGAUGUAGUGUUUUUCUUUUAUUUGCGUUGUAAUUUUAUUUAUUAAAGUUUAUUUCUUUAAGGUUUUAGUGAUAUAUUUAUCUGUUUAAUUUUAUAUUCGUCACUAUACGACGAGGUUCUGUAAUUGGUACUGUGUUUACAAGUUAGAAUAUUUGAUUUCCUAGUUUUUUUUAAGUUGUAAUCGAGUUUCGUUGUUAUAUGGUUGGUUUUAGCAUGGUGUCAUGUUUUGAAAACCUUUUAGGUAUUUUAAUUAAUGAAUAUCAUUCGCGCUCUAUUUUUUAAACAUCGGUUUCAGUUGUUUUCCUAACUGGAAUGGUUGAUGAUAGCGUGAAAUGACAUUUCUGUGACCAUUGCAGAUUGAGUCUCUGUCAGUUACCUUCCAUGGACAUGAUCUGAUAGUCGAUUCUGAACUGGAGCUUAAUUAUGGAAGGUUAGUUAUACAUGUUUAAUUCAAGUAUGUGUGUGUGUGUGUGUGUAUAUUUUUAUUUUUAUUUUUUAAUGAAUGGAGUAUUUGUUAUUCAUAUAGAUAUGCUAAAUUUGUGUAUUCAUGCUCCUUUUCAGACGCUAUGGUUUGCUUGGGUUGAAUGGGUGUGGUAAAUCCACCCUCCUAACUGCAAUAGGGCUCCGAGAGCUUCCAAUUCCGGAUCACAUGGAUAUCUAUCAUCUCAGUAGCGAGAUUGAAGCCUCAGACAUGUCUUCACUUGAGGCUGUCAUUAGCUGCGAUGAGGAGAGGAUGAGGUUGGAGAAAGAAGUUGAAGAACUGGCAGCUCAGGUAAGCUGUAGUAAUAUAAGAGUUAGAUUUUGGAGUACUUUGGUAUUAAUUAUUAAAAGAAUAGGGUAGUACAAAAAUCAGAGUUUGGUUAGUUGUUAAGUAAUGUGAAUAAUAUAGGACCCAAUAGUGGAAUUUCAAUGGGUGCUUUGUUUUAGGCAGCUUUCUACCUCACAGUUCUUAUGACUUAUGUUACUUAUUUUCAGGAUGAUGGCGGUGGAGAGCAGCUUGAGCGCAUUUAUGAGCGCCUUGAAGCAUUGGAUGCAGCAACUGCUGAGAAGCGUGCUGCUGAAAUUCUUUAUGGUCUUGGGUUUGACAAGAAGAUGCAAGCAAAGAAAACUCGGGAUUUUUCUGGUGGGUGGAGAAUGAGGAUUGCACUUGCACGUGCUCUCUUUAUAAACCCAACCAUCCUGUUACUGGAUGAGCCCACCAAUCAUCUUGGUAAGUUUAACUGGUUAGAAAUUUUAGUUUUUGUGUUAGAUUUUUCUUCUUAAUAUGUGUGUCGUUCUAUUUUUAUUCUACUGAAUAAAUUGAUUUGCAUGAAUGAAAAUGAGAAAAGCUUUGGGCUUUAACGUGUAGAAGUCGAUAAGAGAAAUAGAGUCUUUGUUUAUGGGUUAUAUUUCUUUUCUUUUUAAAUUGUUUUAACUUUGCAUGCCAUCGUGUAAAGAUUCUUUAUAGUGUUUUGUGAGAAAGCAAGAUGGAGAAGGAAAGGAGAGACCUAAAAGAGAGAAUACUUGGCCAUGGUCGUGCUGGCUUUAGUUUUCUGGUUUUGAGAUUUGAGUUGUUUUUUAUGUUCUAGAUCGUCUGUUGUAUGGCCUGUGAAAUCACGUUACCUACCACUUUAUAGUCCUAACCUUUUAGGUUCUAUUUUUUUGCUCAUUAUAUGAGCAGGAUAGUUCUCUUACAACUAGAGUUUCGUUGUAGCACCAUGUUUGGUGGUGUAGUGGGUUCCAUGUUUUUUAUCUAGUAAUAAAAUGUAUAGCCAGUUUCCAAGAUGGGUUUUAUUGGCCCACUUAUCAGUGGUUCGGAUUGUACAUAGAGGCUGAAAGUCAUGGCAGGAAUCUGAUAUUAGAAACAUAUCCCUUUUUGCUAACUGUUUUUCUUUAAGUUUAGGUUAAUUGGGGGUAUUGAAUGGUAAUUUUAACGAGUGUUAUGUCAUUCCUGAGCUGGCAAAGGGAGUUAUCUGUGGCCCAUCUCCUUUCCAUUGUCUUGUUAAUACAGAUUUGUCUAGAAUUUUUGGGACUAUUCAUUUUAGUUUUCCGAGUUAUCAAGAAUAAGUAAAGAGAGAUUGGAUACAUUUUUCCAAAUAGUACAACUUUGCGUAAUGAAAUUCUGACUCACCACCACCCCCAACAUUUUUCCUCUUGUUUAGGUUUACUUCUGAUCGGUAUUAGUUUGGAGAACUUAGUUCACUGUAUUGCUAUUCAGUGUCUGUGCAGCUGUUUGACUCCCUUAAUAUGUUAUUGUGUUCGUCUUUUGUGUAUGUGAAGAUACAUAUUUUAUAACUUCAGUCGCUCAUGGUUAAGUUGUCUUCCCUUGUUAACAGAUCUAGAAGCUUGUGUGUGGUUGGAGGAGAUGUUGAAGAAUUUUGAGCGCAUCCUGGUUGUUAUUUCACACUCCCAGGAUUUUUUGAACGGUGUCUGCACAAACAUCAUUCACAUGCAGAACAAGAAACUGAAGAUGUACACUGGAAACUAUGAUCAGUAUGUUCAGACCCGUUCGGAACUGGAGGAGAACCAGAUGAAACAGUAUAAGUGGGAGCAGGAACAGAUUGCUAACAUGAAGGAAUAUAUCGCUCGGUUUGGACACGGGUCAGCAAAACUAGCUCGCCAGGCACAAAGCAAAGAGAAAACCCUAGCAAAAAUGGAGCGUGGUGGGCUUACAGAGAAGGUGGCAAGAGACAAGAUUUUAAUCUUCCGUUUUGUCGAUGUGGGAAAGCUGCCUCCACCAGUGCUUCAGUUUGUUGAAGUCUCAUUUGGUUACACUCCUGAUAAUUUGAUCUACAAGAACAUUGACUUUGGUGUUGAUCUGGACUCACGUAUAGCUCUGGUUGGGCCGAAUGGAGCUGGAAAGAGUACCCUCUUGAAGCUGAUGACGGGGGAGUUGUUUCCUUCUGAUGGCAUGGUCCGGCGGCACAAUCACCUUAGAAUUGCCCAGUUCCAUCAGCACUUGGCUGAGAAGCUUGAUGUGGAACUGUCUGCCCUAGCGUACAUGAUCAAAGAGUACCCAGGAAACGAGGAAGAGAAGAUGAGGGCUGCAAUUGGUAAGUUUGGAUUAUCGGGUAAGGCACAGGUAAUGCCAAUGAAGAACUUAUCUGACGGGCAGAGGAGCCGUGUGAUCUUUGCUUGGUUGGCGUUUAGGCAGCCCCAGUUACUGUUGUUGGAUGAGCCGACCAAUCAUUUAGAUAUUGAGACAAUUGACUCUCUGGCGGAGGCGUUGAAUGAGUGGGACGGGGGCCUGGUUCUUGUUAGCCACGAUUUCAGGCUCAUUAACCAGGUAGCUCAGGAGAUAUGGGUAUGUGAAAAUCAAGCCGUGACCCGGUGGGGUGGCGAUAUUAUGGACUUCAAGCAGCACCUGAAGAUAAAGGCUGGUUUAGCCGAUUGAGACCGAUAUUGAAGUUCCAUCUCGAGCUUGUUGUAGUUGAUUUGUUGGCCUUGCUGACACCUGUACGAGACAGUACAGCGAGGAGGGCGUUUACUGUUUCUGAGACGUCUUCUCAGACUCUCCGACUACUAUGACGGAAGACGAGAUCGGAAAUGGGCCGAGGCUUGGUUAUUGUUUCAAGCCGGCGACAGAGCUUGUAUGGCCGUUUGCCCAGUUUGUAGGUGGUAUUUUUGUUUACGUUCCCGCAUGUUAUUAGUAUUAAUGCUUGGUUAGCAGCCGAGUCGUCGAACGUCGAUUAAGAUUAUUAUUAUGUAGUUUGUUAUUUUUAGCUAGACAAUAUUUCCCCUAUUGUAUCUUCUCUUCUUCCCUGAAACUGAAAGGAUAUGUUGGACUUGCUUUCUUCCAUUAUUUAUAUUUAUAAUUAUAAUAUUCGAAAAUUCCAUCUUUUCCGCCUUGGUUACUAGUCAAAUCAAAAUUUAUUUUGAGUACAUUUUUAAUAACUUAAGUAUUUAUUUGGAAUGUUUUAAAAAUUUAAGAUCAACUUGGAAUGACAUUAAAAAGUUACUAUCUUCCUGGUUUUAUUUCAAAACUAGCCCCUCGCACACAGGAUUUUUGAGGGUAUAUCAAUGGAAGGAAUUAAGCAAGCCUUUAUUUUUAAUUCCGAUACUUUUAAAUUCAUUCAUUUUAUUUUAUUUUUGAACAAGCGACAGUAUGGGUUAAUUACACUAAUACUCCUUGAAGUUUAUCGAGUUUUCACAAAACUUCUUCACGUUUAAGACAUUACACUAACAUCCUCUUAGAUUUUAAUUCUCUUUCAUACAACCCCUCAGUCAAAAUUUUGUUCAUAAAUUUACUAAUUUACCCUUAUUAAUUACUUAAAAUUAAUAAAGAAUAUUUUUAUGAUUAUAUAAAAAAAUUAUAAAACAUUAAAUACUUCAAAAAAAAAAAAAAAAAAAAAAAGAAGAAGAAGAAGAAGACCAUGUAGACAAAUCUCCCCCGUCCCCAACCACACUCAGUCCCCCAAAUCUCCCCUCCCUUCCAUUUCCAACCCCCCUCCAAAGUCAUCCAAUCACCCGACUUCCCCCGCUUCCACAAAUCCUUCUCUGCUGGUUCUAUAAUUUCUUCCUCCUAAAUUAGUGAGGAAUCAAAUAGUAGGAAUUUGACAUUAAUUACAAAUUAUUAUUUCAUUAAACAGAGAUCGUUUUUUGGUUGUUGAAAGUUUGAAUGGGUGGUGGUGAUGGAGGAAGAAUGAGGAUAUGAAGAUGGAGGUAGUUGCUCGAUCGAGUGGGAGGGAAAGAAGAAGAUGGAUAACUUCUUUUUAAAUAAAAUAUUAUUUUCAACGUAAAAAAUAAUUUUUUUUCUUAAUUUGUUUUGUUCACCUGGUUCUUUUUAUUUUUUAAGUGUUUUUUGUCAAAUGAAUUUUUUUUUUAGAUUUGUUACCAAAGGAGUUUGAACCUACACCAUCAUGCAAAAGCUUUAUACCUUUUUAUCAUUAUGGAAAAGAGCCACUUACUUUUUCUAAGUGUUUAAUAUUUUAUAUAUUUUAUAUAAUUAUAAAGUUUUUUUUUAUUAGUUUCAAGUAAUUGGUAAAUUUAUAAGCCAAAUUUUGACUCUAAGGUGUUAUUGAAAGGAAACUAAAACAUGAGAGGGUGUUUGUGUAAUGUGUCAAAUGUGAGGGAGUUUUGUGAAAACUCGAUAAAUCUCAAGGUGCAUUUGUGUAGUUAACCCAUAAUAAUAUCUACAUUAAAUGGGAGGGGGUGUCUUAGAUUCACAAUGGGCUACUAAUAAUGUUGUUCAAAUUUGUCUUUGGCGAAAAUCGAACUUAAAACCUCUCACUUACAAAUGAAGAGGAAUAACACUAGAUCGUAGAGAAACGAUAUCAUCUACACUAAAAUGUUAAAGAAGUAAGCUAAACUUCACAAUAAAUUACCAAUAAUAUGGUUUAAAUUCGUGUUUUGCGAGAGUUUAAAACUGCUUGAAGGGAAACACCAUUAUCAUAGGAUAUCCUCCUAUGGACUGGCGGUGACGGUGAUUGAGAGGGUUUACAGAGUUUUGGUCGAAGAAGCAGAUUGUUGUCGAGAAGAGAGAACAACAGCACACGCGUGUCAACAUGGUUUUCACAUGGGCGUUUACCUCAUUUUACUAUUGAAAAAUUGUGGAAGAAGAACAUUAAAACAAGGGUAAUUUUUUUUUUACAAACGAUAUUUUUUACACUAAAGGUAGGGAGAAUAAUGGAAAGUAAGCUAAAGAUCACAAUAAGCUAGCAAUAAUGUGGUUUAAAUUAUUCUUUCAUAAGAAUUGGAUUUAAAAUCUCUCACUUAUAAAUAAAAAAAAAUACCACUAGACAGUCGUUUAUAGAAUUUUCUGGCUUCACCUUGACAUACUAGAGAAAUAUUAACAAUAUCAAAAUACCUCUGGCUCUGCCAGUGGAUAAAUACACAGAUAUUGAAAAAGGAAUAAAAGGAAAAGCAAAAAACUCAAUGUAAAAGAUUGCAUAAAGACCAACUUAUUAUAUACCAUCAUCCAAAAUUAAGAAGGCCAAUCUUGCUCAAGAUCAUCAGUAACUCCGCACCAUAGAUUCACAAGAACCCCAGUUAACAUCACUAGAUGAGCCUCUCCCUUCCUCCUGCCAUUGCCGAUCGUCUAAUAUCUUCUCGAGCUCGCUUGGCUGGCAAGGAAUGGUUAGGGCACCCUCAUGAUCAAAGCCAUACUCCUCAGCUGCUUGUUCCAAUAGCUUCAAGAAAGUUGGGUGUGUCAAGUAACUCAAUGACAUCACAAAUCUCUUUGGUUCGUCUCCAUCCACCGCAAUCACGGCAAAGUGACCCUCCUUAACAUCUUCGGGCACAUUCGUCGAGUUAGCAUCGGAAUAAUUUGACGGUUUUGAUCUUCCCAAAGAUAGGCUUCUUUGUAGCUUUUCCACUACAAUUUUGAGCUUCACAAUGCUCUUAUUCUUCUUGCAAAUGCUUGUAGUUCUGGACUUAGCCAUUUUUUGUGCUUAUAACAAUUUCUUUUGGUUUAUAUGUUGGAUUGAUGGUAUAUUUGGUACGUUGGCUCACUUUGUUAUAUAUAGGGUUAGGAAGAUAAGAUUGUACAGUUUCUAUGUACAAUAUGUGACAUAGAGUAUAGAAUUAUCAGAGAGACGGACCAUAUGGCCCACUUCCAACAACACCGAUAUUGUCCUUAACUUGGUAAUUACCACCUAUACAAUCCGUCAGGUGUGAGGUUUUAUUACAAAAGGCCUCGGUAAUAGUUGGAGUAAGGUUUAAACUCUUAUUUUCUCAUUGAUACGAUCGAUGUGGGACAUUUCAACUUAGAGUUUCUAUGUAAAAUAUGUGACAUAGCAAGGAGUUAGAAAACUGACAAGUUGCUGACUGGGUGGAGUUCAAUCUCGGGGAGACCGUCCCAUGUGAGUGUGGGUGACUUAUAGCUUCCAACUUACCAUGAGACGUCCCCUUUCAAUUGUCAUGUCAGCCUCUUCCUCACCAAAAUCAUUAAACGGCACUUCUACUCUAGUCUACUACCACUGAUCUUUUUCCAUGGCCUUCCUAACCUUCUGCUUAUACAUCUCCUUAAGAAUUUAAGCUGUUUUAUGGUUUUGUGAGAGGCAUAGCCUAAUGCUUUACGGGGAAGAAUGUGGGUGGUUCUACUGAAUCAACUCUAUAUCUUAAUUACCUCAUGUUUGACAAAACUUAUUUUUUGGGGAUGUGGAGUGUGUUGUUCCAUGGUGGAAAAUUAAGUGACUUGGCAUGUAUUUAGCUACUUUUUAUAUAGUCAAUAAGUUUUGGGGUGAGACCUCAACUUCCUUAAUGGUUAAGUGUUGUUUCACAUCGAAAAGUCAAAAGAAUUCACAUGAUCUUAUAAGAAGUUGAUUACUUCCCCACUAUAAAGGGAAUGGGUUUUUACAAAUGGAUUAGAUACGAUAUAGUAGCUCACUAGAUUUCACGUUUGUUAAUGGGAUAAUGGAGGCUAACUUUGAAUUUUUUGUCCAAGUUGAAGUUAGAAGAUGGUUAGUAGUGAUGAAGGAAACUAAUCUUUAGCAAUAACAAAUACAUCUAAUUUCUUCAACGUGGACAAAAUUUGGAAGAUUGCCCUCAUCUUACUUUAACAUAUGAAUUUGGGUUAAUAUAUGAUAUAUCCAAUCCAAUCAAUUCUAGCAGUCAGGAUCGUGAUCUUCAAUACUGUUCAGUUAGGUCAUUUGCUCCUUAUGUCUUUUGAUUAAUGCAUAACACAUAUGAUCUUUCACUUUCCUUGCAUAAAAUGACGGCAUCUCUGCAGAUCCAUGAAGAACCUGGAGGCCAUACGCGUGCUUAUAACGAAGCACAUGGAGUACCCUGAUUUUGGCACCGAUUCAACUUUCAUCACACAAAUAUUUUGACGUGUGAAAUGCGUGUCGAUUAAACCUUGGUUCUGUGGUUCUUGUUGAAUUUCUUCAUGCAUGCAUGCAUUCCACCAGUUCCUCGUGUAUAUUAAGUAAAUGUUUUCUUUUCAACGUGCAGAAGUUUUUCCAUGUCCAUGAAAGGCAUCCUCGAUCAGUUUACAGUUCAGGAUUUGGCUUUUAUGAGGAAGCAUUUCUUAUUUUCUGACUCUUAUGAUCUCUGUGGUGGAUUUAUAGAAUGGAAAGGCAACUUGUCAGUCUUUGAUUGUUCUAACACUGUUUUUUCAUGUUGUUUUAUAGUGUCAAAAUAUUAUUUCUUUUAAAGUUUUAAUUGAUACUUUCUCAACUUGGUUUUCCCACAUAGUUUUUGUUUCUGUUUUUUCUAAUUGAAAACAAUAGCAAUUUUAUUUUAGGAUGCAAAAAUACAAUCAUCUACUGAAACAUUGGGAAUAAUAUCCGGAGCAUUCAUGUUUAAAAUAGAAGGUUAACUUGAUCAAUCAAUACGCCGUGGAAUUAUACGUUAAAUUUGGCUUCCCCAUAUAGCUUUUUUUUUUUUUCUCUUGAUCUAUUAAUUUUUUUCGAAAUUUCAACUUGUUAUGAAUUUUAUCUAUUAAUUUUUUUCGAAAUUUCAACUUGUUAUGAAUUUUAUCUUCCACUUGUCAUAAGGUAAAAAAUUGAGUGCGCUUGUAAUUAGUAGUGCCCUAGAAAAUUCGAGAGAUAUGGUAACGGAGACUUAUCCAGGGACAUAAUCUGUGGUGUACAUAAAAUGGUGCCAAGGACUUGAACCUUUGCUCUUACUCCGUCCUUUUUGUCCUGUCAUCUCAAAAUAUAAGUAAUAUUGUUAGGUACUUUUUGUCCUGUCAUCUCAAAAUAUAAGUAAUAUUGUUAGGUAGAUCAAUUUUUUAGAUUUACGAAUUAUGUGAUAUGUCAUCAAUAAAGAAUAAAUACGUUAAUCAACAUUUAUUUAGUAAUUCAAUUAUUAACCGUCAUAUCAUAUAAUUUACAAAUAUAAUUUAAAUAAAUAGAUCCGUAAUAUUAUCCUCAUAAUACAUAGACAAGUGGUCAAUUAUAAUUCUUUAAAAGAUUGGGCCGUACAAAAAGAGCCACAGCUUUCUCUACGUGUGUCAAAAUCCAGAUGCCUCUCAUCACAGUAAUGCAACAAUUUAAAUGCAUCCCAAAAUUUGAAGGUUAUCUCAGAAACUAGCAUAACCAAUGCAUAUACCAAAUUAAAUAAAGAAAAUAUCUUCUUGUAAACUAGCAUAGUUUGAUACAUAAGCUAUGUCGUCAUUCAUGGUAUGAACGAUUCAAUAUUACGAACAUCUAAAUUUUCAAUUCCGACAGUAAAAAGUUGAUCACAAACUCUUUAAUCUUUAAAAGAUAUACUAAUUAAUAGACUUGGAACCUUUUUGAAUAGUCUGUAAAUCAAGCUUCAUCUUAAAGAUACUCGUUUAAGAGAUAUUAGCAAAUCUUUCCCGCGGAUUAAGCCACAUUUUCUUUGAACUAGAACUAUAUCACACACCAUAUGGCAGAGGAUGAUAAAGUUGCCGUAUUUCUCAAUACUCAUCAACCAUUUUGUUUAGUGACAUUACGUUAUAGUCUAGAGUUUGAACCAUUGUAUUUAUAAUUUUGGGGCAUUGCAUCACCCCAAAAGCCACCAUUAGGUCAUCUUAUAAAUAUGGUUUUAGUGUAAGGGCCUCAAAUGCUUGAAUUUGCACACGUAAUUACUCACUCCCUCGUCUAGUCUUAUAUGUGCCUUUUCAAUCUCAAGGUCCACUAUUUUUGUCGAUGACAUGUAAUCAAAGAGAAAAAGCUCAGAAAGUAUUGUGAUAGCAAGGAAAAAGGUGAGUUUUGUGGGAUCAACUCUAGCUGUCCAGCCAGAUAUUUUGCUAUAAAAAGACCAAGCAAUGUAGGUUCGAUAAAUAGUGACACAUCGUGCCAUCAAUUAAUUUCAAGAUUGAUUCAUUAUUGAAAAAGGCCUUGACAUAGGCUCCAUGUGUUUUCUAAGCAAUCAAAUUAGUUAACAAGGUUGCAGAAGGAAAAAACAAAAAGGACGGUACUACUAGAGUGAAAAACCAAUCAAUCAAGAGACAAAUGCAAAAAAAAUGCUAAUGUGCGUGGUUGUAAAUUCAUUUUCCGACAUAUUCUAAUAAUGAAAUUGACAUUAUUGGCUAGUAUCGGCAUCCUAUUUACAGUAUCUAGUACAUUUCCGAUGUUGUUGUUAUCAAAUAUAUUUGACUGGUACAUUUGGUAGUUGGUGUGUAUUUUCCCUUGCAAAGUAUUUUCAUCCAAUUUUAGUGGUAGGAAAAAGGUUACUUGGGACAUAUGAAACUUUCAUUUAAAAAUUAUGUUAAGGGUAACAUAACUUGUAACAAUUCUACAAGAAGAAAAAUCCUAGCUGCCGACCUCUUGCCUCUAGUCUUGGGGUCGGCGAGAAUCUUUCUUGAUCUCUUCCCUUUCUUCCCUCUUUGUUUCAGUUGUGGUCGCUCUCUUGCACUUUCGAUGAGUCUUUAUGGUUGUGAUCUCUCUCUCCCACUUUGUCUAGUAGAAUUUUCGUGGUUGUGGUCAUGGUCACGAUUUUGGUGUUUUUUGUUCAACUCUUAGCAGUAAUGAUUGUUGUGGUUUAUGCAAUUAGCAUAUGAUUACGAGGAGGAUGCUCGAUGUUUAUUGAAGGUAACUUAUAGUAGAGGUUCUUAGCCGACAUUUGCAAAAUCAUCAGAGGGCAAUGCAGUCCUUCCUUAUGGUGCCUUUAGUCAAAUUGCAAAGUUUAGUCUUCGUGAUUAGAGUUUUGAGUUUAGGACUAACUGUCCGUUUUCUUUGAGGAAUUGUAUUCUCUUUUGAUGAGUUUGCAAUUAUAGGGUUCAGAUAAGAAACAGCAAGGUCCUACCCACUCUACAUAUGCAUGGAAAAGUCGUAAGAUUUAAGCGUGCUGUCAUGCUAUUACAACACAAUGCUAAAUUGCUAAUUUAGUCCUUUUUAUUGCUCUGUACAGGAAUGAAGUAGUUUACUUAUAGUUUAUGGCUAAUUCAGGGGUCUUGGAACCCCUCGACCGGAUACAUAUAUACAUAUACAUAUUGACAUUGCUCAGCUAGUAUGAUAUUUAUAUUGCAGAAUUUCUCACCACAAGUGGUGAAUUGGCUUAGUGGUCAGAAUCUUCCUCUUUAUUCAUUGCGUCAUACUCACUCUCUUUUUGUUCGGAAGUCCUCACACUCACUCGAACGUGGCAUUUUGGUUCUAUAUUCCUUAACUCCAUCCCCUUUUCUAUAACUCCCUCUACUUCUAUGUAACUUUAAGGGCACAUUUGAAAACUCAUCCCAAUACCUCAAAAGUUAAGUGAAAUAAUCAAAUAAAACGAACAAAAGUGCAAGGGAGGAGAUAUCUUGAACUUGAUCCACCCUAUUGUAGUUAAGAAGUUGAAAUUUUUGUUUGAUUAAUUUUUUGAAUUGCCUUAUUUGCCCUUAAAUUGUACAGAAAAAAUGGAUAAAGCGAACAAAUGCAUAUCACACAAGAAUAAGUUUGAGACCACUAAAAACAAAAGAUAAAAUAUUAGAGACGGAAAAAAUAUGGUGCCAAGAUCAAGAACCAUUGCUAUAAUUAAACUUCAGAUAUUUGAGCUUCCAAAUUUCUUUUGGUCUAAUAAAAGACCUUUUUAUGUAACGGGAACACAACGUGGCGGUCAUGAUUCUCUUACAAUCAUAGGCACUACAACAAUUCAAGAGGCUAACUCAUAAUUUAUGAAUGAAUGAGAAAGAACAUGAGCAGUCGAUCGACAAUCAUGAGCCAAUCAUAACAACAGAAAAGAAUUUAUUUGUAUUAACACAACGAAAUGUAUGAAUAUCCCAACAAAAUCUGGAUCCCUCGUACCUACAAUCUCUAUCCCCCUAACCAACCUCACAACCCCAUUUUUCUCUGGGAAAAAUAAAGAAUAAAAACUACAGAGUAAAUUUCUUGUAUGCUAAUUCGACAUAGUAGGCACGUUUAAGUGAACUGCCCUUUAUAUGUAUUCCUAAAUUCUAAAACAAAAAUCAUUUUAACCUAUAGAGGAAUUUGGUACGACAAUCUGUAUGUAUCCUCGGUCAGCAGAUUACUCAUAUAUGUAAAAAAGAAAGUGCUCACGGGAAGCUCAUGAACGUAAAAGAAGCUGAUUUUGGGAAGCUCUCUUCACUGGCGAAUGCAUUUUUCGUUCAGGACGUUGGAGCACCAUUUACAAACACAGAAGGCUGUAGAAUAUGAGCGGUAUGAAUGCAUUAUCAAGUUGUGCUGUGUAAGCCUCCAACAUACCACUUACGGCCACGGCUAGGAGAAGAGAGCACCAAUGCUGAAAAAGUUGCACCAAAAGCAUAUAUAAACCACCAGCAUUAUCAACCAUGCGGGCAAAAACCCGCAGCACAAAAUUAUCCUAAUUCGGUGACAACUAGAUGUGUAUGCACUUUGUUUCCAAUUAGCAAACACUAAUGGACAAGAGUUUCUUGCACAUGCAUGACUCAUCUGGUUCAUAGAGUGCACCUCAACUCACUAAGUGACUUGACACUGUAAUGUCCGACCAAUAAGUAUCUUAUGCACGAAAUCCUUUUCUAAAACCCGUUUAACAAAAUAACCAGUUCAGUUAUAGCUAGUUUGGCAGAGGGAGAGAUUGAUAGAUAUGCACACCUCCGUAAGAAUAUAUCCAGUGGAUGAUAGAAGGGGAAGCAGAACUAAGAAAGCAGCUAAGAUAGAUGUAAACACCUUUUUGGUGACAUACAUUAAGCAAAUUAAUGGAAACACCUUUUCGGUGAAAUUAAUUAAUACAAAUACCUACUGCCAGUUUUGCUCCACCUGAGGACACCAUACUUUUACCCAAGGACUGAUGCCUGGACAUAAAAGCUGAACCAAUACAAUAACAUUAAGAAAUAGUUGUUUCCUGUCCUGUUCUUCUAGUGCAAGUACACUCACCAUUGUAUCUCCAAUUCCGAGAUCCAAAAUUCCAGAAAAAGGAUCAAGGGGUUGAUCAAUGUACCCAGAAGACAUCCAUAUAGGACGAGCGCAUCCCAAUAAGAGCGAAAAGUGGCGGACAAAACAUAUAAUAUAAAAGACAAAACUCAUGAGACUUAUUUGAAUCAAACUUAUGAGAUUAAGGCUUUGAUCUAGGGGGGAGAAGGAAUCCCAUACCUGACAAUAAGAAGAUCUGAGUCACGAUGAUCAGUGAAAGCAUUCAUAAAUUUAUUUACAGAUUGUCCUAAUCGCCAAAUUCUCCAUACCUUGUACAAAGAUAGUCAAGCAAAUGAUAUAAGAAGAUAGACUUCAAAACAAGUUUAACAUCCCCAAUUAUAUACAUGCACACACACUCUCUCUCACACACACACCCACUCACCCACACACAGACAAAAACAUGUUUUUAAAGGAAUCGCCUUUCCAAAUAUUCAAAUACAGGAUUUUGACUUGGAAAUAUUGUGUCCUCAACAAGUGGAUUUUACUUAUUGCAUAAGACACAAAUUUUAGACAUCAACAUAAGGUUUUAGUUUGAAAAUUUACUCGAAUAAUUUCCAAUGCCAAGAAAACUGCCAAAGCUGCACAAAUGAAAAAUCAAGAGACUCCGGCUGCAAAAGAAACAUACAAGGAGCAUAUAUAAACACACAUAAUUAGAAUCGCGAUAAAAAACGUAUACUUGGAUGACAAUCAAUCUUUAGUCCUAAAUUACCUGGAAGAUAAGAGCAGGCACAAACAUUGACACAGCCAUCAGAUGGUAGUAUUUUCGGAGUAGAAUCCUCUCAAUCUUGCUACUUUUUGAAAUGUUGUAGAACCUCAGAACAGAAAUAAAUAUCACACAGAUCCAGUAGGCACACAAAGAUAAUCUCUUAAGUGGUUCUGAAAAAAUAUAUGAAAGUACCCUGCCAAAAGAAAAAAGAGAUUUAAUGCCGACAUAAGACAGCCAUCAGAAAGAAUAAACUAAUCUUUUGUAAACAGAAUCAAAACUAUAAUCGCUCACAGCAAAUAGCCAACUUAUGUAACAAAAAAAAAAAAAAAAAAAAAAAAAAAAAAAAAAAGGAACCUUAUACAAGUCUUAAGCCAUGCAAAGUUCACCGACCAUAAUCGAGAUCAAUUACCACAAUUCAUGGGUCUCUGGCAGUCCGGUUCCUUGAAACUGGAAUUCCAGUGUACCAUGAUAUAUGGAGAAUAAAAAGUAGAUUAAAUGUCAAAAAUAAAUAAAACUUAAAAAACUGAAAAUUCUGUUGUACCAUGAUAUAUGCAAUCCAUUGAUUUUAUGGACUCUAAUUUAAGUAUUUAUGAAUUUUUUAGCACAUGGAUGGAUGUAGUCAAGUUGUGUGCAAGGAACCAAAGUGAUAUGUGUAAUAUUGAAAACUUACAACUCUAUAUUAGGUAACCUAGUAUACGCUAUGCGCCAUACACCAGGGCUAAGAGCACAUCAAAUCCGAUGCCAGUACCGCAAACCCAAACAUAAAAAAGAUCCUAAUAACUCUGGUUUUGGUAGAACCUACCAUUCAACUAUGUGAAUUUUUUUUAAUAACAAAGGUGGUAGAUGUGUUUUAGCACAGUUGCAAACACACAGAAAGUGUAACAUAAAGAAAGUCCCAGUAACUGCAAUUAUGGGUGAUCACAACCAAUGGAAAGCCGCUUUGCUGUUAUCACUAAUUUCAAAUUCUUGACUAAGUCAUGCUAUGCAACUGUGCACACCAAUACUAAGUGAGACUUAAUUCAGAGGUUAGUUUGAUAUCAACUAGCAUGCAGACCCUUUGAUGUUUUGUUCCCAGACUGCAGCAGUGAUUUUCUAUUAAAUACCAUUGAAAGCUUGCAUUCCACACGUCUGUGAACUUCAGAACCAGUUAUGUGAAAUAUAAACCACCUAACUAUGGUGAAACCAACCGUAACCACCAAAUAGAACCUAAUAACCAUGUCCUAUAGAAGAUAAUAAAAAAUCCAGUUGAAGUAACAAGUAUAGAAUAAAUUAUUCGAAAAGGUUGUACCAUAACAAGGGAUGCAUAUGAAAAUCCUGAACCAACUGCAUCCACGAUGGAAUGAUCACAAUCAUGAUAAAUCCAAGUGAAGAAAAGAAGAUAACAGAUCUCCAAAUCCCGUUGUUUGUCCUCACUUCACAUUCGGAGAACAAAUUUAAAGGCCAUUGGGAAAAGAAGGCCAAGCAGCAACACCUGCAUAAAAUAGAAUGAUGGGUUUCCAGCCAGACCACUUGCGAUCAAUUUCAUCUAUUAAGAAAGCAUACCUGCAUAAUAAUACUAAUCUCACUUCAUUUACUUCCAUAAUGUAACACCUCUGAUUUCAUAAAAAAACCCAGACAUCUGUGUGAGAAAUGUCAUAACCAAUAGGAUGACUACAUAUAAGCAGUUUGACCAGAGAAAAAAAAAAACCAAUUAGAGCAGAAAAGAAAUAACCUUUUCAAUGGUAUAUGCCAAUAUGUCACCAAAAUAGAGAACAAGACCUGAAGUCGCUAAACACGCUUCCCCUAGAGAGAAACAAAAGACAUGCAACAUCAACAUCUACUGAGAAAAAACCAGAGAAAUACCCCAAAAUAAUAAUCAUCAGAGAGAGGUAUAAAUACAAAGAAAAUAAAGUGAGGGAGAGAGAGAGAGAUCUGCACAUUAGCUGACUAAUGAUAUAGCACUUCAACUUGAAGUGUUCAAUAUGAAUUAAUUAAUGUCAUACUAUUAUGGAUAAAUAACUUAAAUGUCCAGACGAACUUAUCGACUGGGCAAAUGCAUAUUCGUGUUUUUUUAGUUGUGUAACCACUGAAAGCCACUAAAACAUGAGGGGAACAUCAGCAAGCAGUGAAUAGUCAAUCUAUUCCUAUGAAGCUAUAGCAACCAUUUCAAUUUAGCAGUUACGUUUUGUCCCCUUCAAUCAAUAAGAAAAAUUCCAUUGCAUUUUGCAAGAACAAGUAAGUGAAAUAGAAAAAGUAGCAAGGCAUAUACCAAUGGAAGAACAUGAUGGGAAAGUUCUAAGAACAUGCUGAAUUAAUUUUACAGCUGCCAAUCCAUGAGAGAGGAUCCAUAAUAACUUUAAUGCAGUCUCAAAGCCUGUAUGGAAUGAGCAGAUCAAGUUUCAGUUUUCCAAUUACUAUUGGCUUAAGCAUAAGUAGAGAACACUUUCCAUGUUAUCAAUUCAGAAAAGAGGAUUCAAAGACAUGCAGGAAACUUACUUGUAAGAGAUACUGUACCAAGAGUCAGACAGCACACUGCAUUGUGCAAUAUUAUGCAACUUAAGCUAAACUUUGCAUGCCUAAUACUACGUGAAGGUGGAGCAAUAUUCCCAGAUGCACACGAUAUGGUUAUGCAGAGAAAAAUCAGCACACACAGGCAGCUGGCAGAAGCAGCCCAGUAUCGCAUCGUCAAAGAUUCAAGUUCUGGAUGGUAACAUUGAACAUAUCAUCAGCAUAAUAGAGAGGAACCAUAUCAGACAAGGGUGAGACGAAACAGUGGGAAGCAUGGAACCCUAUCAGAUUGUAAAAUCAAUUAAAUGCAUCAUAUGAAAAAGUUUACCGGUUAACACAAAACGUUUCAAAAGUUUACAUCCAGAGAGAGAGAGAGAGGCAGAAUUAAGAAUUAAGAAUCAACAUUAUUUUCUCUUACUAUAGUAGCCGACAUUCACCUCUCCCAGACCCUGCGUAAAGCGGGAGCCUUGUGCACUGGGUACGACCUUUUUUUUUUAUAGUAUCAAGUGCAAAUUCAGCAGAAUUAAGAAUCAACAUAAAUAUGUGGUUAAAAAAGGAAUUACUUCAAAAUACGCAUAAUUAUUCUCAUGUGCAAAUGGAAGGUUUCUUUUGAUCUUCAGACACAAGAACUCCAUUUUCCCAUCUCAUCUAUUCUUUCAUGCUUUUCCCCACUAGCCACAUUUCAAAUCUAGUCAAAUAUCGCCUAUUGCCUUAUCUAUAGUAUCUGAGGUAAACUAAGAAUUUACCAUGACACUGUGUCAGACCUAAUGUAACAACAUUAUCUUAUUAAACCCAGUUGUCCGAUAAAUAGCACAGGCUUCCAAAAUCCCAAAUGGCACAAGGUUGAAUAGCCCACAGAAUUUAAAACCAGAGCAUGUUCACAUGAUCAACAGAAUCCAGUCACAUUCAAUCGUGGACUCCACAAGGGAUCCCACCAGUAACGAAAAGUUCAUGUCUAUUACUCAAACAUAACCGUAAAGGUUUGAACUUUUCCAGCUAAUCUGUACAGUGAUGGAACUCAAGAUGAUACAUUUACUAAUUUGAUGCUAAUUAAGAUUAGGAGCGACGGAUAACGGUGAAUUGAAAACUACACAAAGUACCUUCAAUAGAAACUUGGUGCAACGAAACCGCCAGCGAAAGCUGUAUCGUUUUGGAUAUGAAAACAGUGGGCAACGCGACAGCCCCUAACAGUAUACCCGACGAAGCACCAGGCCUGAAACAUUAAAAUUACAGUCAAUGCCCACAUUCAACACUGGACGAACCCUAACAAGAGCAAUUGAAAAAACUGAAGGAGAAGAGUAGGAGUAGUACCUGGUGCUAAAUUGGGAGAGGGAGGUGGAAGAAUCAGUGAGGAUGUCGAGGGAGAGGGCGAGGAGAGAGAUGGUGAGAGAGAAGAGGACGCGAGAAAUGAACAGCAACACCACAGCUCUCUCUCCGUUCAUCAUUCCGGCCAUCGCAAAUGCCAUGGCCGCCAUUGAAAUUGGCGAUCCUAAGCUUGUUCUAUCUUCGAGACGACGGAAUUGGAAUCGAUUGAAGGAUCGGAGAAAGGACCGAUGAGAGGUAGGAGUCGUUGGGUUUUUUUCGCGGGAAUUGGCACCAACUUGUCGCCUUUUUCCUUUGUUUUUUUUUUUUUAACAAUUAAGAUAUGUCAUUUUAAAUUGUUCUCAACCUUUUUAAAUACUAAAUAAAUAUCCAACUUAUUAAAAUGUCACAUUUGUUAACCCCAAUUAAUUUUUCAAACAUGAAUUAUAUUUCAAGCGCCCCAACUGGUUAUAUACUAUGGACAAUAUUAACAUUGAUUGCCUCAAAAUCUAAAUUUCAAAUAUAAAUUAUACAAAAUAGAACCCAACCAAAAAGGUAUUGAAUUGUCGAAAAUAGACCCAAAUUGAAGUUACAUCAGUAGGGCAAUCUCUUAACAGAGAAGAGGUUUAAGAUUUCAGAAAGGGUUUCAAGGAGUUGUUCCUGCUCAUGUGAUUUCCUUAUUGUGACGAUUCUCGAUUGGUAAAGCUUCUAGUUCUUCUUUGCGGACGAUGAAGAUGGUGGUCGUCACAUCAUGGCAGUUCAUACCAUUUCAGCAACCUCUAUGACCUUCUUGAUAUUGGCAGCCUAAGUUGUAGGGUGGAGUUGGUGGUUUUGCAUUAAGUUUGAAGGUGAUAACAUGAUGCGGGUGGUGGUAACUGUUAGUUGGUGAAGGCUAUGCUUCCAUGACCUUCUAUUGAUUUUGGAGACAAAGUAAGCCUACUUAAUUUAACAAACUUUCAACUGGGGUUAACAGAUGUGACAUAUUCAAUAGGUUGAGUGCUUAUUUGGAAUGUUAAAAAGCUUUAGACCAAUUUAGAGUGACACUAAAGGUUGGGAGUUCUAAGUACUUAAUCCUUUAUUUUAUUGUGGUCUAAUUCGACUAUGACUUUCAAACAUAAAUAAAUAACCCUGUAAAAAAAAAAGGUACCGCUAUUUACAAACUAUUUUUACUUUUCAUACACCUCUCUCAAUUUUUAUUUUGACAGCAACCAAUCAAACACGACCGAAGACGUUUGGCAGCCACCGACUGAAAUCAGUGGAAUAUUUCGGCAGCCACCAACCAAGCUCAACCCAAGUCGUUUGGCAGCCACCGACCAAGCCCAGCCCAAGUCGUUCGGCAGCAAGCGCCUACGCCAGAAUCAACUUGAAGGAUGUCCUGAAGAGACAAUAUAGUAGCCAACACACACAGCGCGUAACAAGCAUGUCAACAAAAUUAGACAAAUAACAACAGAAAAAACAUCAAAACAUUACUACUCCAAUGCAUCUAAAUAUCAUUGUAUAAAAACACAAAUCAUCUGUAAGCAAAGUCGGUGAUAAAACAUUUCAACUCGAUGCAUUUUAAAGUCCAAUGCAACGCCAUUCGUCUCAAUAUCAGUUUUAAGUCUUCAACUAUGUCAUAUCCUCUAAGUAGCUCACAUUACUGACUCCUAGCUCUUAGAUUUUUACUUUAUGAGCAAACUCCCCGUUGUUUAACUGCGUCCAGGCUCCUUUCUCUUCUCCACUGUAGGUGAUGUUAAGAAAUCCGUCGUCAUCCUUAUUUGCCUUAUCGAUUACAUACAUCGAGGUACCUGUGUGCAACAACAUUGGACGAAAUUAGAGUUAUUACCACAGUUUGGGAACAAGAUGGAUGGAUAUCCUUAUGCCGAUUGUCGCUCUAAAACAAAAUAUUUUGGCAGCUCUGCUUACCAGCGGGAGGAUCAGUGUUCUUGAAAUAGAGAAACAAAGGCUUUGUCCAUGGCCUUCCUUCUUUCCACUCGAUCCGAAUCCGAAUAAACUCAAUAAAUUCGCUCAGAGGCAAAUCGAAAUGAACUUGGAAUCUGCAGUCACAAACACAGUGUAGGCGAUAAAUCUGUGUGCGAACCCCUUCACAUAGACAAGCAAUAUAACUUACUUAUUUCUCUUCCCUCUUUUUUCUGACCGACUUCGUAACGAAUGACAUAACAAAAGGAAAGCAAAAAUAAAGCAUACGUAUAAAAGGGGACAAUCUUGUUCACAAAUCAAGAAAAUAAAGCAAAAAGAUGUCGGGAACUAACUUCUUCAUGCAAAUGUCAGGAAUUUUACUGCUUGUAUCCUUCUUCACAUUCACCUGCACAGCACAAAGACUCAAAUUACAAGAAGGUAUUAAUUCAUAGAGAGAAUUAACACAUUUGACGUGGUCAAAUUCUUACUGGUAUAUGAUCUGGUCUUUUCUUCCUCAACAGCCAAGGAUUUAGCUCACGCUCUUGGCAUAACUCCCAUAAACUGAACAUAACUCAAAACCAUACAUGUAAAAUUAACUAACCCAUCAGUUUCAAUUUAGAACUACAAAUCAAGAGAAUUAAAGCACAAGGGAACUGGAAACUAACUGCUUUCCGAUAAAAGUGGAUAAUUCAGCAGCAGGUUUUCCCUCGAGCGCAGCCUUCUCCUCAAGCUGAGCCUACUCCGCCAUCACAUGCAUAGCAAACUCAAAUUAGAACGGUAUAUCCCUGGAAUGUGUAGAACGUAAAAAUACUCGAUACAAGUUCAAAUUCUUACCAUAUGCUCCUUGUUAAGAUGAUCAUUCCAAGUGUCUAACAUAACAAUGCCUUUUGACAAAAUAAAAUCCCCUUUUAUCCUACAAGCAUAAGUGAAGGGAAUAAUCUUAUUCCAUAGUAGCAAAUACAAAUCGAGAUAUUUAAAGCACAGUGAAUUGAGUUGAAGACUAACUUCCUCUUCUUCAUCUUGACGACCUCGCCAAGAAUUAAGUCACACAUUUGAGCGUCAUACUCAACAAUCUACGUAAAACAUUCAAAUUAGAACAGGAGUAUGUUCAUUGAAUGACUAAGAAAUAAACAUGUGUGAACUACAAUUCUUAAUGGUAAUUUAUCAAUGCAUCUACUGAGUACCCCUUUCUCUUCUCCCCCGCUAUAGGUCAUGUGAAGAAAUCCAUCUUCACCCUUAUUUGCAUCAUCAAUUUCAGACAUCAAGGCCCCUGUAACAGAGCAAGAAGAAGAUAGUUAUUAAAACAGCAGUUGAUGCGGAAUCAGGAUGAAUAGUAUUAUGCCUUCGGCAAAAAUGGAUUGCAGCCAUGCUCACCACUGUGAGGUUCAGUGUUGUUGAAAUAGACAAACAUAGGUUGGCCUGCUCGAAUUCGAACACAAUUUCGAAUAUAAUUAACAAACUUUUUGAGAGGCACAUCACGACGGACGUGGUACCUGCAGUCAGAGACACACAAUAGGCCAUAAAACCAUGCACGAGCCCCUUCAUCCAAGAUAGGAUAUGAAGACAAGUUAGGUUGGAGUUUGCCUAUGCAAUAUCAAGCACAUUUUCUUUUUUGCAUGCAAAUGUUAUAUAAUUACAUGGAGUAUGAAAAUUGUUUGGUAGGAAGUCGUCGCUGCCUAGGCAGCCAUUUCGUGUUAACCACGAUGUAAAUAGUCUUAGAACAUCACCUGAUGUAUCAGAUCAAUCACCCCCCCCCCCCCCCCCGGUCCACGUCGUUUUUGUUUUUUUUUGUUGUUUCGUUUUGUUUUCACACGUGACUAAAUGCUAUCUGUGGGCAUGACAAGUAGUACUGGCCCUUCAAGAUGGAUUUUGGAACAAAUGAUAUACCGAAAGUAUACAUAAAACAAGGGACAAUCCCAUUCCAUUAUAGUGAUAAACAUAAAGAUAGCCAAAGCAAAAGAGGAAUCCGAGACUAACUUUGUCAUCUCCAACCCAGGAAUGUUACUCCCUGCAAGUUUUCUCAACGCUAACCUGCACGGAAGCUCAAAUUAGAAUAGGGACAGGUUAUUACCUCCAUUGAAUGCAUAGGAGGAAAAGAAAAUGAAGAAAAAACCAAAACAACAUAACGAUGCAGUCAAAAACUUACUGGGACAAGAUCUGGUUGGCUAUCCCUCAAUUUCCAAGCAUUUAUAGUGUAUUCAUUGUACUCCUCCAAAAAUGACCUGAACAUACAUCAAAAGCGUAGAUGAGAAAAAUAACGAUCCCAUUAUUCCAUUUCCAUUGCAUCGAAGCAAACGAAGACAGGUAAAGCACAAGGGAGCUGGAAACGCACAUUGCCUCUUUGUACGAGGUAGAGGAGAGAUUUACGUCUGUGAGCCUAGAUUUGUCUGCAUGCAUAGCCUUGUCCGGAAUCAUGUGCAUAGGGGAUCAAAUUAGAACAUAGUAUCCAUGCACACACAAUGCAUAAGUAGGGAGUAGGACGGAUGUAAACAUAUAUAUAUAUAUAUAUAUAUUAGAUUCAGCUCAAUUCUUACCAUGCUAGCCUUGUAAAAUGAAGAGUUCCAAUGGUCCAAUGGUUCAAUGGGUCUCGGAAUAACAGUAACUCCUGGAAUCUCGCAUCUGCAGAGAAUGUUCCCUGAAAAUUUCAAACAACAAAAACAUGAUCAUCACAAGAAGAAGUCGUCUUCCAAAAUAAAAUUACAGAGUACAGAAGGCAUCACAUCACAAAGAGUAAAAAUAAUUCGCUACGUUUCUGUUCAGAUGCUUGGGACUUUUGAGCGUACGUCGAUCGUCAUUGUGUUUUCAAUAUUAUUAUUAUUUUUUAUUUAUUUUCAUAAUUUUUUGUGGGUCGUCGUCUUGGUUUUUCAAGUCUAGUGCUGUAAAUUUGAGUCGCUCAUGGCGUUUUGGGAUUCCAAAAUCACCAGCAUGUAUCAACUGGUGGUAUGCUCGAUUGCAAUUUUAAGACGUUGAGUGCUGUUUUUUUUUUUUUUUUUUUUUGGAAACGGUUGAGUGCUGUUGUUUUGGUUAUGUGGUUGCGGGGUGUUUUAUAACCUCAAUUGGUGGCUGUAGGUAUCGAUAACCUCUGAAAUUGCAUCAAAAAAGAUCAACAGGGAUGUCAUUAAGCAGCUUGUUCGUCUGUUCAAGGAGUCUCACCUGGGAACAAGGAAGAAAAUAUCGGUAAUAUCGAAAAUAUCGGUAGUCCGAAAACACGGAAAUAUCGAUGGAAAUAUCGGGAUAAUAUCGAUAUCGAUAAAAAUUACAUAGAAACCACGGAAAUUGUAAGAAAAACUUGGAAAUUUUUAAUGAAACUUUGCAGGAUGUUUAUUUAGUCAAUUAUCUAUUAGUUUAUCACAAAAAAUUGGAAGGAAAUGCAUUGCAUGAUGGAUUUAACUGAUUUAAGUUGAUUAUAUAGCGAGCUGACAAAUUUUUCACUCUUUAAGGUUCAAAAUUUUCACUCUUUCCCUGAAAUUAUAUAUUUUCACUUUUUCCCUGAAAUUGAGUCCUUUAUCCUAAUCUAAUCUGAACCCCCAGAUUAAUUUAUAUUUUCACUCUUUCCCUGAAAUUAUAUAAAUUGUACAAUUGAGUCUUUUAUCCUAAUCUAAUCUGGACCCUCCAUCUUGAUUCUCACCCUCUGUCACGCUGCCACGUGGCAGACCACUAACCUCACCCUAUCUCUCUCUGUCUCUUUUCCCGAGUCCCUCUCGGACCCCUCACCUCACCCUAUCUCUCUCUCUCUUUUCCCGAGUCCCUCUCGGACCCCUCACUCUCUCUCAGUUCUCAACUCUAUCUCUCUCUCGAACUCUCAUUCUCUCACCCCAUUUUCUCCGGCGCCGACUCUGGCUUCGGCUGGAGUCGGUUGCCCUUUCCCCCUUCCUCCUCCUGUUUUUCUCUUGUUUUUCCCUUCUCGGUCUGUUCCUCUGUCUUUUCUUCUUUCUUUUCUUCUUCUGUUUUUCUUUUUGCUUUCUCCUGCGUCCUUUCCCGAUCCGGCCAUGUCCUCUACCCACCCCCAGCGGCGAUCAUCCUCCUUCAUCUUUCAGAUCCGACAUGCAACUGCUUUCAAACCGCAUUUUGCUGCGCGGUAUUUCGAGAGGGUGCGUUGAGAUCCGGCAUGCAGCUGCUUUCAAACCCAGCCGUCGACACCACUCCAUAACCGCCUUCUAAACCACCUUGUUCCAUGGAGAAGCUGUGUCGUUAGUCCCAGUCGUCGAGUCGUAACUGUCGCGUCAUAGCAAAUCAACGAUUGUGGAGAAACUGAGCGGAGGCAGCGGACACCGGACGAUGGACCGAAAUUCAUCGUAGUCGUCGGUGAGGAGCACGACGUUGUCCCAGCCGUCUUGGAUUCGUGAGGAAGACGACGUUCCCAGGCUCCUACUUCUCUUCUUCUCGGUUUGUAAUUUAAUUUUUGUACAGAUUUCGAAUUUUCUGCAUGUAAUUUCAUUUUUGUACUGAAUUCGAUUUUAGGGAUUUAGGAAUUAGGGAUUCAGUUCAUUUGCUUUGAAUUCGAAUUUGGGGAUUUAGGGAUUCGGUUAAUUUGCUCUUGCGUUCUUCUCCGAUUUGAACAGUUCCAAAAUAUCGCGAUAGUUUCGAAAAUAUCGCGAUAUUAUCGAUAUUAUCGAUAAUAUCGCGAUAUUUUGCCGAAAACAAUUUGGAUAGUUAAAAAAAUAUCGGAACCCCAAAAAAACGAUAAUAUCAGCGAAAUAUCGCCGAUAUUAUCGAUAUUUUCUUCACUGCCUGGGAAAGAGAAAGCCUGCAGCUUACGAUGGCAUGAAAAGUGUUCAUACAGCAGGGCCCUUACCAUUUUCCAUGAAAGAGUUUGUGGUCAAGUUGGCCGAAACGGAUGGACGGCAGGGUUCUGCUGCUGCUGGUCCCAACAGGUAUAAUCUGUAUCAGAGUUCCGUGCUUGUGUGCUGUUUUGUUUACGUAUAUAUUUUGUAGCUGUUGCAGUUUUCUGACUCUUUUCUUCUCUGUAUCUGGACGGCUCAUUAUUUACUUUCGUUUGAGCUAUUUUGAUUGAAUUUGCAAUAUCAUAUAUCAAAAGGGGUAAAUAUGAAAAGAAAAUCAAAUUGAGUUAUGACGGUGUUCCAUGGUAGCACAACAAACAUUAAUAACUUAUUAUCCAUCUUUGCAUUUUACCUUCAGUCUAGAAGACAAGAGUAGAAUUUCACCCUGCGUAAAGCGGGAGCCUUGUGCACUGGGUACGGCCUUUUUUUUAGUAUUUGUUUCCGGUUUUUGAAUGUUGUUUUCUUUGCAUCAGAAUGGCUCACAGGAGGGGCCGAGAGUUCAAGGUCACUCUCAAAUUGGCUAGCAAACACGACCUGUACCAGCUGCAACAGUCGCUACGAACCGGGCAACAUGAGUCGCCUCAAGACGCAGCUCAAGUUCUGGAUGUUGUUCUUAGGGCCACACCUGAUGAAAAGUAAAGUCUCUAUUUAGUACAAUGGCAUAAGAUUUCUUUUGUCCUUGUAUGCGUUGUUUAUUCACUGACGAUGGUUUUGAUCCUUGUAAUUUCUAUCACAGGUACACUGUUGGAGGGAGGUCUUAUUUCACCAUUGAGCCUUGGCAGAAAGGUGAUCUUGGUGAGGGUCUGGAAUACUGGAGAGGCUUCUACCACUAAGGCCGACUCAGUAUGGGUUUUGGCUCAAUAUAGGUUAGGCAUUGACCAAAAUUUCUUUGUUUUGAUAAUCAUUAGAACUUCAGUAACAAGAGUGUUGUGACUAACUUUUGUUGUUCAUGUAUUUGCAGAUGUAUCGGCCGGAGCAUUUUAUGAACCUAUUCUGGUAACUGAGUCUGUGAAAGAACUUUUGAACUACAGAGAACUGUCAAGGCCUUUGCCUGAUCGUGAUCGUUUGAAGGUACACUCCAUUUUUGUGUUGAUUUUUUUUCAUGCAGUUUUGAUAGGGAAAUUAUCCAAAAGUAAAGCUAUAUGAAGAAAAAAAAAAUACAACGUGAAUAUGAUGAAUUGAUAGUUUGUUGUUAUAUUUUACCGGUCUGAAAAACGAAAUACAAGUUCUGUAUACUAGGUGUAGCUUAUAUUUACCCGGAUUUGCUAGUAUUUAUGCUCAUUCAGUUUUGAAGCUGCAUUCUGUUUUAGCAUGUAAUCAUUUGCUUUUAUUUUGAAUUCACUUGUUGAUUUCGGAUUCACUUCCUUUGGAUCAGGUGUAGAUAUUCACGUAGAUUAAUUUGUUCGGAGUUUUAUGUAUUUACUUGUAUUUUUCCAUAAAUGGUUACUUAAAGUAUUUGUGUUGAACAAAACUGAUUGGUAUUCUGUUACUUACAGGUGGAGAAGGCCUUAAAGGGGUUCAAGGUAGCACUUUCUUGUCGUGAUAAUAGAUCUUACAAAAUCACUGGGGUCUCAGUGGAACUGCUGAGCAAGUUGAUGUGAGAGUCUCGUAAUCUUCUCGACGUUUAUUCUUAUAUCUUGUUUAUACGUAUGUAGAUUGUUGUGGUACUUGACUCGCUUGAAAUGUAGAACUAGAACUUUCAUGCUCAUUAUCUACUUUCAUUUGUGCUAUUUUGAUUGAAUUCGCAAUAUCAUAGAUGUAAAUAUGAAACGAAAAUCAAACUGAGUUAUGGUGGUGUUCCAUGGUAACACAACAUUAACAACUUAUUAUCCAUCCUUGCGUUUUAGGUUCAUUCUAGAAGAUAAGAGUAGAACUUCAGUAGUACAGUCUUUGUUGCGGUUUUUUGAAUGUCGCUGUCUUUGUAUUUAAAUGGCUUACAGGAGGGACCGAGAGUUCAAGGUCACUCUCAAACUGGCUAGCAAACCAGAUGUGCAUCAGCCGCGACAGUUCCUGCUAAGCCAUCAGCAUGAGUCGCCUCAAGAUGCAAUUCAAGCUCUGGAUGUUGUUCUUAGGACCACACUUGAUGAAAAGUAAGGUCUCUCUUUGGUAGAAGGGCUUAAGAUUUAUUUUUUCCUUGUAUGCGUUGUUUCCUCACUGACGACGGUCUUGAUCGUUGUAAUUUCUAUCACAGGUGCACUGUUGUCGGGAGGUCUUAUUUCGCCAUUGAGCCUCGGCAGAAAGUUGAUGUUGGUGCGGGUCUGGAAUACCGGGGAGGCUUUUACCUGAGCCUAGGGCCGACUCAACUUGGGGUCAUGCUCAAUAUAGGUAACGCAUUAACCAAAAUUUCCCUGUUCUGAUCUGAUAAUCAUAUGAAGUUAAGUAACAAGAGUGUUGUGACUAACUUUUGUUCACAUAUUUGCAGAUGUAUCAACCGGAGCAUUUUAUGAACCUAUUCUGGUAACUGAGUUUGUGGAAAAACUUUUGAACCACGGAGAAGUGCCAAGGCCUUUGCCUGAUUGUGACCGUUUGAAGGUACUCUCCGUUUUUGUUUCGAUUUGUUUCAUGUUGUUUUGAUAGGCAAGGUAUCUAAAAGUAAAGCUAUAUGAAAAAAGUACAGGGUGAAUAUGCUGAGUUGAUAGUAAUUAACUUUACCUGUCUGGACAACGAAGUAGAAGCUAUAGGUUAUAUUUAUGCAGAUUUUGCUAGUAUAUAGGCUGAUCAUUCAGUUUUGAAGCUGCAUUUUGUGUAUAUAUCUGACUGAGAAAGGUGAUUUCACGUUCUGGAAACACUCGAGUCAUAUAUUUCACUGCUUCCCAACUAGUUAAAGUUGACUUAAAUGUGUCUGAAUAGCAAAACCUCUGUUAUCUCUCUGGUUGUCUUUUGGUUGUGUGUUGUAUUUCAGUGUAGUUUGGCCUGGCCUGUGUUACUAGUCUCUGUUCCGGCUCUUGGUUGUAAUUCAUUUUUGUCUUGCUGGCCUCUAGUCCUGGAUGUUUUCUGUAUUCUGCCUUUUUGUGACCCGAACAAAAAGUUAAAAGACUAGUAUUACUUGAUAAUUUUCAACUUUAUGCUGGUUUUGUAGGAUCUGGUCACUACUGCUUCUGGCCUGGACCCUAGUGGUGGACAAGGACACCACCAAGCUGGCGGCAGCAGCAGUGGUGGAGGCGACGCCGGAGGUGGUAGUUUCGAGAGCGAUGCCCGAGGUGGCAGAGAUGAUGGAGGCGAUGGAGGUGACGCCGGAGGUGGUGAAGGCGGCGACGCCGGAGGUGGUGGAGGUGAAGGCGGCAGCGAUGGAGGUGGCAGAGGUGACGGCGCGUAGCCUUUAGUAAGAAGACCUGUGAAUCUAUACCAAAAUCAGCUUGGUGAAGAUGUCUUCGUUGCGAUAUUGUAUCCCGAAGAGUACACUAAUUUAUGGGCAUUUCUUCCAGCAAUACGAGUGCGAGAAUGGCGACCGUUGGACCAGAUUUGGUACACUUACCGGGACAGUGCUACCAGAGCUCUGAGGCUAAUAGAUGGGACUGCCGACCUCUUUCUUCUUGGCUGGUCAACGAUCCGGGCUGGUUUGACCAAGCUUGUGCUAUCCUCACGCGUCCACGGGACGAUUUCCGUAAAAAUAAGGGCAAGAGUAAGAGUUGUUGAGAAGGGGGCUGAGGAGGAGGCUGAGCAGGAUCUUGAUGGGCCAGUCCGCUACCAUAUCCACCGGGAUGAGGUAACCACCUUGGAACAGUUCAUGAUACUAAUAUUUUGGUCUCCAGUUUAUACAGCAUUUAGGGCCGAUGAGCAAUGGCUUGAUUUCAGUACGGUGUACAUCAUGGGCACCGGUGAGCGACUAAGUUGGAGACAACUUUGUGAUCACGUCGAGGUCACUAGUUGGGAAGUCUACUUUGUGAUCACAUCAUGGGCACCUGUUCCCAACUAGUGACCUCGACGUGAUCACAAAGUUGUCUCCAACUUAGUCGCUCACCGGUGCCCAUGAUGUACACCGUACUGAAAUCAAGCCAUUGCUCAUCGGCCCUAAAAUGCUGUAUAAACUGGAGACCAAAAUAUUAGUAUCUUGAACCGUUCCAAGGUGGUUACCUCCUCCCGGUGGAUAUGGUAGCGGACUGGCCCAUCAAGAUCCUGCUCAGCCUCCUCCUCAGCCUGCUGCUCAGCCCCCUCCUCAACAACUCUUACUCUUGCCCUUAUUUUUACGGAAAUCGUCCCGUGGACGCGUAAGGAUAGCACAAUCUUGGUCAAACCAGCCCGGAUCGUUGACCAGCCAAGAAGGGAGAGGUCGGCAGUCCCAUCUAUUAGCCUCAGAGCUCUGGUAGCACUGUCCCGGUAAAUGUACCAAAUCUGGUCCAACGGCCGCCAUUCCCGCACUCGUAUUGCUGGAAGAAACGCCCAUAAAUUAGCGUACUCUUUGGGAUAAAAUAUCGCAACGAAGACAUCUUCACCAAGCUGAUUUUGGUAUAGAUUCACAGGUCUUCUUACUAAAGGCUGCGCGCCGUCACCUCUACCACCUCCAUCGCUGCCGCCUUCACCUCCACCACCUCCGGCGUCGCCGCCUUCACCACCUCCGGCGUCACCUCCAUCGCCUCCAUCAUCUUUGCCACCUCGGGCAUCGCUCUCGAAACUACCACCUCCGGCGUCGCCUCCACCACUGCUGCUGCCGCCAGCUUGGUGGUGUCCUUGUCCACCACUAGGGUCCAGGCCAGAGGCAGUAGUGACCAGAUCCUACAAAACCAUCAUAAAGUUGAAAAUUAUCAAGCUACACCUCGCAAUGAACCAAUUUGCUACAAAAAAUGAUUGUCUGCAAAGAAUGGCAAAUUUAGUCAUCUUAUAGUCAAUCUCAGGACCAAAAACUGGUUUUGGCCUUUUUCUAGGAGAAGAAUUGGAGCAAGAAUGCGAAGAGAGGGCUACUUCGGGAUGAUUAUUUUCAAUUUCUCAGACGAAAUGGGAAAAAAAUUCAGCCUGGAAAAAGAAUGAAGUAGGAGAAGAAUCUAUCGCUUGCGACUAUUGACGGUGAGAGAAGGAAAAAAAUAUGAAUUUUUGGAAGAAAGAAGGGAUCUUUGGAUCUGGGUUGAGGAUAAAUGGUUUUGGGUUUUCUGGGAAAGUUAUGAUUUUCUCGGGAAAAUUUGGACGGUGCGAGAAAGGGGGAAUAUUUGGGAUGAUAGAGAGGAGAGAAGGGAGAGGGGAAGGAAGGAAGGAAAGAGGAUUGAUUGAUGCAAGGAAUAGGAAAAGAGAUGGAUUCGUGGGUACUAUAUGAUAUCAUACUAUUACAUUUUCUUAUAGCUACAUAAACUUUGUUUAUUUAACUUUAUCAUUUACAUUUAUCUAUGUAAAUAUUUGUUUUUAUUUAUUUAAUUUUGUUGGAUUGUAUCUGAUAUGUGAGAAAUAAACAAAAAAAGAAAAUGUUAAUUUGGUGAAUGAUUGUCCAACUAC